Molecule: non-coding RNA, 72 nt
Organism: Podarcis lilfordi (Lilford's wall lizard)
Lineage: Eukaryota; Metazoa; Chordata; Lepidosauria; Squamata; Lacertidae
Source: the annotation of a GenBank genome assembly
AGGGCCAUGGCUCAGUGCUAGAGCAUCUUCUUUCAAUACGUGAGCGUCCAGGUUCGAUCCCUGCUGUUUCCA